RNAcentral lists this ribosomal RNA (433 nucleotides) under uncultured bacterium. Its description in RNAcentral is "partial 16S ribosomal RNA". It matches the Rfam family "Bacterial small subunit ribosomal RNA", at positions 29 to 507 of the family's 1533-position model. The record is from RNAcentral.
AACGAACGCUGGCGGCAUGCCUAACACAUGCAAGUCGAACGAGACCUCCGGGUCUAGUGGCGCACGGGUGCGUAACGCGUGGGAACCUGCCCUUAGGUUCGGAAUACCUCCCCGACAGGGGUGCUAAUACCGGAUAAUGUCUUCGGACCAAAGAUUUAUCGCCUUUGGAUGGGCCCGCGUUGGAUUAGCUAGUUGGUAGGGUAAAAGCCUACCAAGGCGACGAUCCAUAGCUGGUCUGAGAGGAUGAUCAGCCACACUGGGACUAAGACACGGCCCAGACUCCUACGGAAGGGAGGAGUGGGGAAUAUUGGACAAUGGGCGAAGGCCUGAUCCAGCAAUGCCGGGUGAGUGAUGAAGGCCUUAGGGUUGUAAAGCUCUUUUACCCGGGAUGAUAAUGACAGUACCGGGAGAAUAAGCUCCGGCUAACUACGUG